AAGUGAUACUGUAAGAGAAGGGAAACACUAGAAGGCUCACCUGAGGGGACAUUGCUUCACCGGGGCAUCUGCAUUGGGAACCCCAGCUGUCUGCCUUGAAGGGGCUUCCCCAGAGAUCAGAAUCAGGCCACUCCCGUCCAGACCCUAUGACAGGCCCCCUGCACAUGUCUCUUCUAGAGUUCCUUCACGUGGGGAAAGGCAAGUGCAGGCCACACUGAAGGAGCCUUUGGCUUGAAGCAGACAUCCCUGAAUGCUGGGGCCCAGAAAUUCUUUCCAGAACCCCUGCCUUUCCCAUGGGGCAAAGCUCAGCAGAGAUGCCAAGAACCUGGAGAUGUUUCCAGCAAGCAACCUAGCAUCAGGGUGAUGAUGUACACAAGGCUGAAGAAAGGAAAGCAAGCAGAGGGCAAAGACCUGACAAGGCAUGAAGAGGCAUCGGAGAAGACAAAACUUGUAGGGGGAGGUGCUGAUUCUCUAAUUGGUUGUUAAUUGUGUCAAUAAAGAAGGCGAGAGCC
RNAcentral lists this long non-coding RNA (512 nucleotides) under Rattus norvegicus (Norway rat). Its description in RNAcentral is "long non-coding RNA NONRATT020957". The record is from RNAcentral. Lineage: Eukaryota; Metazoa; Chordata; Mammalia; Rodentia; Muridae.